GACGAACGCUGGCGGCGUGCUUAACACAUGCAAGUCGAGCGGUAAGGCCCUUUCGGGGGUACACGGGCGGCGAACGGGUGAGUAACACGUGGGUGACCUGCCCUCAGCUCUGGGAUAAGCCUGGGAAACCGGGUCUAAUACCGGAUAUGACUCCAUGACGCAUGUUGUGGGGUGGAAAGCCUUGUGCGGCUGAGGAUGGGCCCGCGGCCUAUCAGCUUGUUGGUGGGGUGAUGGCCACCAAGGCGACGACGGGUAGCCGGCCUGAGAGGGCGACCGGCCACACUGGGACUGAGACACGGCCCAGACUCCUACGGGAGGCAGCAGUGGGGAAUCUUGCGCAAUGGGCGAAAGCCUGACGCAGCGACGCCGCGUGAGGGAUGACGG
This 384-nucleotide ribosomal RNA is filed under the name uncultured bacterium. Its description in RNAcentral is "bacterial SSU rRNA". It matches the Rfam family "Bacterial small subunit ribosomal RNA", at positions 28 to 414 of the family's 1533-position model. The record is from RNAcentral.